This 372-nucleotide ribosomal RNA is filed under the name uncultured organism. Its description in RNAcentral is "partial 16S ribosomal RNA". It matches the Rfam family "Bacterial small subunit ribosomal RNA", at positions 527 to 896 of the family's 1533-position model. The record is from RNAcentral.
GUAGGUGGCAAGCGUUGUCCGGAAUUAUUGGGCGUAAAGCGCGCGCAGGCGGUUCUUUAAGUCUGAUGUGAAAGCCCACGGCUCAACCGUGGAGGGUCAUUGGAAACUGGAGAACUUGAGUACAGAAGAGGAAAGCGGAAUUCCACGUGUAGCGGUGAAAUGCGUAGAGAUGUGGAGGAACACCAGUGGCGAAGGCGGCUUUCUGGUCUGUAACUGACGCUGAGGCGCGAAAGCGUGGGGAGCAAACAGGAUUAGAUACCCUGGUAGUCCACACCGUAAACGAUGAGUGCUAAGUGUUAGGGGGUUUCCGCCCCCCUUAGUGCUGCAGCUAACGCAUUAAGCACUCCGCCUGGGAGUACGGCCGCAAGGCUG